AACGAACGCUGGCGGCAGGCUUAACACAUGCAAGUCGAACGCAUCCUUCGGGGUGAGUGGCAGACGGGUGAGUAACGCGUGGGAACGUGCCCUUCAGUUCGGGAUAACCCAGGGAAACUUGGGCUAAUACCGGAUACGUGCGAGAGCAGAAAGAUUUAUCGCUGAAGGAUCGGCCCGCGUCUGAUUAGCUAGUUGGUGGGGUAAUGGCCCACCAAGGCGACGAUCAGUAGCUGGUCUGAGAGGAUGAUCAGCAACAUUGGGACUGAGACACGGCCCAAACUCCUACGGGAGGAAGCAGUGGGGAAUAUUGGACAAUGGGCGAAAGCCUGAUCCAGCCAUGCCGCGUGAGUGAUGAAGGCCUUAGGGUUGUAAAGCUCUUUCGUCCGGGACGAUAAUGACGGUACCGGAAGAAGAAGCCCCGGCUAACUUCGUGCCAGCCGCCGCGGUAA
This 449-nucleotide ribosomal RNA is filed under the name uncultured bacterium. Its description in RNAcentral is "partial 16S ribosomal RNA". It matches the Rfam family "Bacterial small subunit ribosomal RNA", at positions 29 to 523 of the family's 1533-position model. The record is from RNAcentral.